This 300-nucleotide ribosomal RNA is filed under the name uncultured Halogeometricum sp. RNAcentral's name for it is "bacterial SSU rRNA". It matches the Rfam family "Bacterial small subunit ribosomal RNA", at positions 496 to 795 of the family's 1533-position model. The record is from RNAcentral. Lineage: Archaea; Methanobacteriati; Methanobacteriota; Halobacteria; Halobacteriales; Haloferacaceae.
GUUUCAUUCGUAACAGGAGCGGCGGGGAAAGGAGGGGGGCAAGCGUUGGUAGGCAGUACUGGGGUGAAGACGGGGGUAGGUGGUUCAUCAAGUGGGAGGUGAAAUCCCCGGGCUCAACCUGGGAACUGCAUCCAAAACUACUGAGCUAGAGUACGGUAGAGGGUGGUGGAAGUUCCUGUGUAGCGGUGAAAUGCGUAGAUAUAGGAAGGAACACCAGUGGCGAAGGCGACCACCUGGACUGAUACUGACACUGAGGUGCGAAAGCGUGGGGAGCAAACAGGAUUAGAUACCCCGGUAGUC